Sinocyclocheilus rhinocerous is the source of this 238-nucleotide long non-coding RNA. RefSeq lists it as uncharacterized. The record is from RefSeq and is a predicted model, not a curated record. Lineage: Eukaryota; Metazoa; Chordata; Actinopteri; Cypriniformes; Cyprinidae. The transcript has 3 exons.
CCAGCAUGCAGAGACUGGGCGCCAAACUCGGGUUUGUCUCAGGGUUGAUUCAGCGGGUGAAGGUGGAGGCGUUUGAGCGCAUGCUUUGGCGCGUCUGUAAAGGUUACACCAUCCUCAGCUACGCAGAAGUGGACGAGAGCCUGGCCGAUCUGGACACGGGGGAGAUCUGUAAGAACGUAGUGUUCCUCAUCUCCUUUUGGGGCGACCAGAUUGGGCAGAAGGUUCAAAAAAUUUGCGA